GCGUUUUUAGAAAAGUUAUCUUGCGUUCGUUUAUAUAUACUACCACCAGUAUCCCUUGGCACAUGCAGGUCAAGGUGAUGCGGAAACAUGUCGUCUGUUUUUAAACGUCGCGCCACAUUCGGAUUUAAAUGAACUUUUGUCGAGACCUAAGUUCCUGCUAUUACUGUCCACCUCGUUUUUUUGUGUAAACUUUCUGGAAAUCGGAGAAUCGGAACUAACAUCGCAUUGUCCAUGCCUGAUAGCUGGACUUGUAUCACUGAUUUGAUUAUCAAUUAAAGGGGGGCUUUGAUCUGUAAAAAAAAAUCGAUAGGACAUUGCCAAUAUACCUUUUCAAAUAUUUCAAAGGCUUAGAAGCCUCAAUGCUUAAAAGUACGAGGAUGGAAGAGAAUCUUUUAAGUUUAAAAAGUUAUAUGUAUGUAUAUAUGAAGGGCGAGUGGAUCUUUAUGGUCCUAUAUGUCAGGGCAAGGCAUAGUCGGCGAAUUUUUAAAAUUAAGCCACAAUAAUACGAAAGAGUAAAAAAAAAAAUGUGAAACCUGGUUUUCUUAUAGUUUCUGGAAUUUACUUUAUGAUACUUUGUUACAAAAAAAAUAUUUAUUUACAUAAUUUUAUUGAGUAUUUGAAAACGAGCAGUCGAAGUAACAAAAGUAUUAUAUACAGGCACCGUAAUCAUGAGUUUUAUUUUAAAAAUCACAAAAUAAUUAUUGAUUUCUGAGCGAAAAAAUAAAAAUCUAUAAAAUUCAUUAUUCUCAGAAAAAUAUCACUUAAUUCAUGUUUGCGGGCUAUGUAUGUAUUAAAUUUUUUGGACAUAUGAUUGCAUAUCUCUAUAGACUAGGUAUAUAUGUAGGUCCAAAUUUACACUAUGAUUUUCCGCAAUCACUCCUCCUCCGCUCAAAAAUUAGAAAAAAACAGAAAAUCGGCAAUCCUUUUUAGUAUAUUUUCAAUAUUGAAAAAAAUUUGUCGUCAUGCAAUAUAAGCAAGCAACAAUUUGCCGGAAACGAAACAUAUAAACGGAAACGUGCAAUUAAUGGAGAAAAUCGGAGAUUUUAACUUUGGAUGAGUCUUUCAAAGAUAUGGUAACUGCUAGAUACCAUUUUUAAAUUUUAGUUGGUACACAUACAUUUCAAAAAUGAUAUGUACUAGAAACAAUGAUGGUCAUCGCCAUUACACGGCAUACAUAAUUCAAUAUAUGGUAAAAUUUGAUCAAUUUCUGCUCUUAGGUGUACCGCGGAAACUGUGGGUGAUAGAACCUAUGCUUGUUCUGGACUUUGGUUCAGGGGAGCCUAAAGGUUAUGGAGCAGGUAAAAUUAUGCGUGGAGUUGGCCUGUGUAGUUUUAAUCACUCAGAUAUGAAAAAAAAAAUCGCAAAAAUCAGUUUUUUUUUCAGCCUCUGAAACCAUCUUGCCCGUUCCGGGGGGGCUUAAAGGUUAUGGAGCAGUUGAAAUUAUGCGUGGAGAUUUUUUGCUGUUGGCCUGUGUUAUUUUUAAUUUUUUUGCUCAGAGAUCAUGAUUAUUUUUGAUUUUUAUUUUUUCGCUUGAAUGAAUGAUUUAUUUUUUCAAAGAAUGAUCAGUUUUUAUUUUUCGCUCAAAACAUAAUUAUUAUUCUUUUUUUAUUUUUUUUUUAAUUUAUGAUUUUUAUUUUUUUGGCUUAGAAAAUAAUGAUUAUUUUGGGAUUUUUAAAAUAAAAAUUAUUUACGGUCCCUGAUUAUAUAUAAUAUAAUUUGUAGUUAUCACUGCAUCACGGCAAAAAAUUGAAUGUGAAUAAAUGAAUUUAAACUAUAAAAUAUUAAAGGACAAUAAAAAUGACUGUUUAGUGACUCCAAUUAAGAUACUAUUUCAGAUUUAAUUUAGUAGAAACAAAAUCGGUUAAAAUAAACUUUAGAAGCCAUAAAGAA
Drosophila ananassae is the source of this 1890-nucleotide long non-coding RNA. RefSeq lists it as uncharacterized. The record is from RefSeq and is a predicted model, not a curated record. The transcript is spliced from 2 exons. NCBI's taxonomy places the organism in Eukaryota, Metazoa, Arthropoda, Insecta, Diptera, Drosophilidae.